GAUGAAGAACGUAGCGAAAUGCGAUAAGUGAUGUGAAUUGCAGAAUUCAGUGAAUCAUCGAAUCUUUGAACGCACCUUGCGCCCUUUGGCCAUUCCGAAGGGCAUGCCUGUUUGAGUAUCAUGAACACCUCAACUCUUUAUGGUUUUCCAUGAUGAGCUUGGACUCUGGGGGUUUUGCUGGCUCACAGUCGGCUCCUCUAAAAUAAAUCAGCUUACCAGUGUUUGGUGGGUAUCAUGGGUGUGAUAACUAUCUACGCUUGUGGUUUUUCCACCAGGUAACCUUCAGCAGUGGAGGUUCGCUGGAGCUCAUAGACGUCUCUCCUCAGUGAGGACAGCCCUUUGAACGUUUGAUCUCAAAUCAGGUAGGACUACCCGCUGAACUUAAGCAUAUCAAUAAGCGGAGA
RNAcentral lists this unclassified non-coding RNA (404 nucleotides) under soil metagenome. RNAcentral describes it as "partial contains 5.8S ribosomal RNA, internal transcribed spacer 2, and large subunit ribosomal RNA". The stretch from base 1 to 121 matches the Rfam family "5.8S ribosomal RNA", at positions 35 to 154 of the family's 154-position model. The record is from RNAcentral.